Molecule: ribosomal RNA, 460 nt
Filed under: uncultured bacterium
Lineage: Bacteria
Description: partial 16S ribosomal RNA
Rfam family: Bacterial small subunit ribosomal RNA
Source: RNAcentral
CCUACGGGAGGCAGCAGUGAGGAAUAUUGGUCAAUGGACGAGAGUCUGAACCAGCCAAGUAGCGUGAAGGAUGACUGCCCUAUGGGUUGUAAACUUCUUUUAUAUGGGAAUAAAACGUUCCACGUGUGGGAUUUUGUAUGAACCAUAUGAAUAAGGAUCGGCUAACUCCGUGCCAGCAGCCGCGGUAAUACGGAGGAUCCGAGCGUUAUCCGGAUUUAUUGGGUUUAAAGGGAGCGUAGGUGGAUUGUUAAGUCAGUUGUGAAAGUUUGCGGCUCAACAGUAAAAUUGCAGUUGAAACUGGCAGUCUUGAGUACAGUAGAGGUGGGCGGAAUUCGUGGUGUAGCGGUGAAAUGCUUAGAUAUCACGAAGAACUCCGAUUGCGAAGGCAGUUCACUGGACUGCAACUGACACUGAGGCUCGAAAGUGUGGGUAUCAAACAGGAUUAGAUACCCCAGUAGUC